RNAcentral lists this ribosomal RNA (253 nucleotides) under uncultured bacterium. Its description in RNAcentral is "partial 16S ribosomal RNA". It matches the Rfam family "Bacterial small subunit ribosomal RNA", at positions 524 to 776 of the family's 1533-position model. The record is from RNAcentral.
UACGUAGGCAGCGAGCGUUGUUCGGAGUUACUGGGCGUAAAGGGUGUGUAGGCGGUUGUUUAAGUUUGGUGUGAAAUCUCCCGGCUCAACUGGGAGGGUGCGCCGAAUACUGAAUGACUCGAGUGUGGGAGAGGUGAGUGGAAUUCCUGGUGUAGCGGUGAAAUGCGUAGAUAUCAGGAGGAACACCGGUGGUGUAGACGGCUCACUGGACCAUAACUGACGCUGAGACCCGAAAGCGUGGGUAGCAAACAGG